RNAcentral lists this ribosomal RNA (262 nucleotides) under uncultured bacterium. Its description in RNAcentral is "partial 16S ribosomal RNA". It matches the Rfam family "Bacterial small subunit ribosomal RNA", at positions 8 to 263 of the family's 1533-position model. The record is from RNAcentral.
AGAGUUUGAUCCUGGCUCAGGAUGAACGCUAGCUACAGGCUUAACACAUGCAAGUCGAGGGGCAGCAUUUCGCUAGCAAUAGUGAAGAUGGCGACCGGCGCACGGGUGAGUAACACGUAUCCAACCUGCCGAUAACUCGGGGAUAGCCUUUCGAAAGAAAGAUUAAUAUCCGAUGGUAUAUUAAAACCGCAUGGUUUUACUAUUAAAGAAUUUCGGUUAUCGAUGGGGAUGCGUUCCAUUAGUUUGUUGGCGGGGUAACCGG